Molecule: ribosomal RNA, 470 nt
Filed under: uncultured bacterium
Lineage: Bacteria
Description: bacterial SSU rRNA
Rfam family: Bacterial small subunit ribosomal RNA
Source: RNAcentral
ACUCCUACGGGAGGCAGCAGUGGGGAAUAUUGCACAAUGGGCGCAAGCCUGAUGCAGCCAUGCCGCGUGUAUGAAGAAGGCCUUCGGGUUGUAAGUACUUUCAGCAGUGAGGAAGGUGGGUAGUGUUAAUAGCAUACUCAUUUGACGUUAGCUGCAGAAGAAGCACCGGCUAACUCCGUGCCAGCAGCCGCGGUAAUACGGAGGGUGCGAGCGUUAAUCGGAAUUACUGGGCGUAAAGCGCAUGCAGGUGGUUUGUUAAGUCAGAUGUGAAAGCCCGGGGCUCAACCUCGGAAUUGCAUUUGAAACUGGCAAACUAGAGUACUGUAGAGGGGGGUAGAAUUUCAGGUGUAGCGGUGAAAUGCGUAGAGAUCUGAAGGAUACCGGUGGCGAAGGCGGCCCCCUGGACAGAUACUGACACUCAGAUGCGAAAGCGUGGGGAGCAAACAGGAUUAGAUACCCUGGUAGGCUCU